CAACAACUCUGUUUUGUGUUUAAUUUUUUCUUUGUUUCUGAAAAUUUUUUUGGCAACUGUGAAUCUGGGUUUUCAAUUCACGUGUUAAUAUAAAAUUUUGAUCGAUGAUGGAAAACAACAGAGAAAAGGAGACUGGCUCUCACUACAGCUGGUUCGGCUUCUGGGAUUGCAUCAGGUAUUAUCCAGACCUACCUCUUCAGAACAGAUCAUAGAGGAAAGGCGGAGCGAUUGGGCUUAUUCGAAGCUUGUGGUGGUGCUUGACAUCGUUUGGAACGGUUGCCACAGCUGUUUUGGUUAUGAGCAUCCGAUUAUACUGCCUAGAAUUUGUUUAUGAGCUUUUUAUGUUCUACAAAACAAUUGGGAAUGGCUCAAGCACGAGCUGCUGAAUUAGAGAAGCAGAUCCUUGCAUUAACGGUUUUGACCAUCCUACAAAUAUAAUCCUUGAUGAAUCUCAUCUCAUGAACGGGUGUUUUCCACAAAGGUUUAAUAGCAGAUAUUGACAUUGAGUCAGAGAAGUUCAGAAGGAUGGGAAGUGCUCGUAUUGACUUCUAUGUACGUUUAGUUAACAAGUUUGACAAUUGUUGCAUUGCAGUUGUUAAGCUACUGGUGAGACUUUAUGAUUUUAAUCGGAUGUUCUUUUAUUGAACUUAAGAAAUGUUUUUACUUUCUUGUUUUCGCAGGCUCUUCAGAGGAUAUUAUGUUUAAGACAAUACAAUGGACGAAUUAUAUUUCUACCAAUACAACAGAUAUUGGUAGAAAUUAAAUUAAAUUAAAUUAAAUUAAAUUAAAUUAAAUUACAUUAAAUUAAAGAUAUUCUACUGUAAGCUCUUAAUUUUAUUACUUUAUGUUUAUUCUGAGUUCUCACCGUUUGAUUGGUAGUAUCUUACUCUUUAUCUUAUGCCCUGAAUCGAAUUGUUAUUGUUCACCGAAAUUGGAACUUGGGCUCUGUGUUAUUUUUUACUUGCCUCCACAAAAUUGUGCAUAUCACUCACUGUGUUUUUUCCGUUGUCCGUUCUCUUCUUGUUUUGUCCGUUGUCCGUUGUCUUCUAUAUGCAGGUCUUCUCUCUGCAAUUGCUUGCUGGUAAGUGGUAAGAAGGUUACUGUACUGCUAUGUGACAGUCCUCAGAGGUGCAUCCGUAUUAUAUGUAGCUAGCUACUGGGAACAAGAACUCUAAACGAGAAGCUAUCAUGGUUCCUGGACGACGGUGGUGAAGGCACAAUUCAAAAUGUUGGAGCUGAUUGCCAUCUAUGCUCUACCCAUUACGUAGGUAACUCCCACUAUAUACUUUGCUUUAAGUUGUGUUUUGAUUUACUACCCACAUGAUUACGGAUUGCUAUCUGUUCAUGUUCAUGUUUUUCUUUUGCUCUCUCUCUCUCUCUCUUUAUUCACGACUAGUAGUCCUCAGCUCUAUAUAUUUGGCUAUGUUUUUGUAAGCUCUUCAUUCUACUUUUAAUGCUUAUUUGGAGUUCUCACCGUUUAUUAAAUUUAAUAGGUUAUUUCAGUCUUAUGUCCUGAAGCUAAUGUUAAAAUUUUGUGCUUAUUACUCACUGUUUGAUCUUUAAAUUCUUGAGGCAGGUAUAUAGU
This is a non-coding RNA of Camelina sativa (false flax), 1585 nucleotides long. Lineage: Eukaryota; Viridiplantae; Streptophyta; Magnoliopsida; Brassicales; Brassicaceae. The record is from RefSeq and is a predicted model, not a curated record.